AUGGAUGGAUCAAAGAGGUUCCGACGCCCGUGCGUCACUGGAUCAUCCGCGGGGGGGUCCUUUACAGCUUAUGCGGCCACCUUCUCCUCGUCUUCACGGCCGGGAGACGCCGGCAUGAGGCCUUCGCUCUGUCACCAUGGGUGGCUACUGUUGGCGGACAUUAUCGACAAAUUCGUCAUCACCCUAUUGUUUGUUAGCAACAAAACGUCGCGGGAGCGGCAACUCUCCGCGUUCUGGUUGCCCUUCCUCCUGAUUCACUUCAGUCGCCCGGACAACAUGAGCGGUUUUUCCAUUGAGGAGAAUGUGUUUUCGCCUGGGCAGAUGUUGAGUGCUAAUGCUGCUAUCUUGGGAGCCUCCAAUGCCCUGUACGUCCAUGUAAUUCGCUCCCGUCCCAGUGCCGGGACCUUGGUGCCAGCGUCCUUCCUCAUGUACGCAUUGGGUAUUUUCAAGUACUUGGAGAGGAUAAAUGCACAAGGGAGAGGCAACUUGAGAAUAAUCAAGAUCUUAAUGAAGAUGAAGAAUCAGCAAACGAGAUUCAGUUUCCAUCACACUGGUGUCCAUGGGCCCCUGGAUAAUGAUCAAGCCCUGCUUGUCGCUCACAGCAUGCUUCCUAUCACCAAAUGUGCCUUUUGUGACUGCUCGGUGGACAUGGAUCCUGACGACCGUGAAACCGGCAGAAAGAUAUUGUCUUGUGGAUGGGAGAGUAUGUACAAGGUGGUGGAGAUGGAGCUCUCCCUCAUGUACGACCUCAUAUACACCAAGGCAGCCGUCAUCCACGUCUGGCCUGGCUACAUCAUCCGCAUCGUCUCCCCGCUAAUCAUCUGCGCCGUGCUAUUUCUGUUAACUGCUUAUGAUAAAGGAUUCCAAAGAGUAGAAGAUAUUGUUCUCACUUACAUAUUGGUGGUCUCCACCUUACUACUCGAUGUAAGAUGGCUGCUGGGAGCACUAGGGUCGACCUGGGCAUAUACAUUCUUCAAAGACUCAAGAUGGCAGCGGCUAAAGCAUGCAGUUGUCUGUGAUGGAAAAUGGCACCGGCUCCGUACCAUUGUAGUGUCUAUGAGCUCCAGGUUCGACAUGAAGCACCCAAGUAGCUACAGGUUGUGGCGAGGAAUCAUGGGCCAGUACAACUUGUUGCAUGAAUGCACUCGUCACAACGACAAUCCAAUAAGUGUAAGUAGUAUGAUCGGCCUGUUGUACCUCCAACCACAGGAGAGCAUGAUGCAGCACGAAUACCAUGACAGACGUGGCUUUAGGAUUCCACAAGAUUUGAAGGGUCUGUUGUUCGAACGCAUAUGGGAAAAGUUGAAGUUAUCAUACACACCCGGCAAGGUUCAGGAGGAAGAAGUUGUGCAGUUUGAUCCUGAUGAGUUGCAAGAGCUCAUUCUUAUCUGGCACAUGGCAACGGACAUUUUCCUCCAAAAGGUCACCUUUGCAGAUGAAAAAUCUCAAAAAUAUGUGAAGUUGAUCAGCAAGCUGUCUAACUACCUGGUGUUCCUCGUGGUUGUAUGCCCCAACAUGCUACCGGUCCGUAAGCUGCCAAACAAGUAUGAAGAAACCAACAAAGCGUUGAAGGACUAUUUGAGUGACGAAAAGAAGCCUGCUAGUUGCAAAACAAGAGAGCAGAAGAUUGCCUUCAUCCUGGAACAGAUGGGGGACGGAAAUAGUACUAGUAGCAUUGUUCUAUCGGAUAGUAAUCAAUAUGCCGGUGUGCUACGAAGCUGUUUUGCCAAAAGGGGGUAUAUCGACCUAGUUGAGAAGAUGGGGAGAAAGUCCUACCAAAGAUUUCGGAAGUUGAUGCCGGGAUUGUGUUCUUACUCUGAGUUGGUCACUGAUGAAGAACUGUUGUUGAAUCUCAUCUUUGAUGCAUGGGUACUUUUGCUCAUGAAUGCGUCCAAAGGGUCUAGCAGGGAUUCCCAUGCCAAGCAGCUCGGCCAUGGCGGCGACCUCGUAACCAUAGUGUGGAUCAUGACAAUACAUGCCAACAUAUUUGGCAUCCAAGAGGAAAAUAACGGGGUCUGCUAA
This 2022-nucleotide ribosomal RNA is filed under the name Triticum aestivum (bread wheat). RNAcentral's name for it is "partial small subunit ribosomal RNA". Lineage: Eukaryota; Viridiplantae; Streptophyta; Magnoliopsida; Poales; Poaceae. The record is from RNAcentral.